UGGGAAUAUUGCGCAAUGGGCGAAAGCCUGACGCAGCGACGCCGCGUGAGGGAUGAAGGUCUUCGGAUCGUAAACCUCUGUCAGCAGGGAAGAACGGUCACUGUGCUAAUCAGCAGUGAAUUGACGGUACCUGCAAAGGAAGCACCGGCUAACUCCGUCGCC
This 162-nucleotide ribosomal RNA is filed under the name uncultured bacterium. RNAcentral's name for it is "partial 16S ribosomal RNA". It matches the Rfam family "Bacterial small subunit ribosomal RNA", at positions 356 to 509 of the family's 1533-position model. The record is from RNAcentral.